GAGUUAGGGAUGAUUAUAAAAAUAAUUCUUUAUUUUGACUUACUUAAUUUAGGCAUGACAAAUCUCUUAUUAUAGCUACAGAAUCUGAGCUCC
RNAcentral lists this small nucleolar RNA (93 nucleotides) under Theobroma cacao (cacao). RNAcentral describes it as "Small nucleolar RNA snoR8a". It matches the Rfam family "Small nucleolar RNA snoR8a". The record is from Rfam by way of RNAcentral. Lineage: Eukaryota; Viridiplantae; Streptophyta; Magnoliopsida; Malvales; Malvaceae.